GGGGAUUUAGCUCAGCGGUAGAGCACUUGCCUAGCAAGCAAGAGGUCCUGGGUUCGGUCCCCAGCUCCA
Molecule: transfer RNA, 69 nt
Filed under: Rattus norvegicus (Norway rat)
Lineage: Eukaryota; Metazoa; Chordata; Mammalia; Rodentia; Muridae
Rfam family: tRNA
About the family: Transfer RNA (tRNA) molecules are approximately 80 nucleotides in length. Their secondary structure includes four short double-helical elements and three loops (D, anti-codon, and T loops). Further hydrogen bonds mediate the characteristic L-shaped molecular structure. tRNAs have two regions of fundamental functional importance: the anti-codon, which is responsible for specific mRNA codon recognition, and the 3' end, to which the tRNAs corresponding amino acid is attached (by aminoacyl-tRNA synthetases). tRNAs cope with the degeneracy of the genetic code in two manners: having more than one tRNA (with a specific anti-codon) for a particular amino acid; and 'wobble' base-pairing, i.e. permitting non-standard base-pairing at the 3rd anti-codon position.
Source: Rfam by way of RNAcentral